GAUGAACGCUGGCGGCGUGCCUAAUACAUGCAAGUCGAGCGAACAGACGAGGAGCUUGCUCCUCUGACGUUAGCGGCGGACGGGUGAGUAACACGUGGAUAACCUACCUAUAAGACUGGGAUAACUUCGGGAAACCGGAGCUAAUACCGGAUAAUAUAUUGAACCGCAUGGUUCAAUAGUGAAAGACGGUUUUGCUGGCACUUAUAGAUGGAUCCGCGCCGCAUUAGCUAGUUGGUAAGGUAACGGCUUACCAAGGCAACGAUGCGUAGCCGACCUGAGAGAGUGAUCGGCCACACUGGAACUGAGACGCGGUCCAGACUCCUGCGGGAGGCAGCAGUAGGGAAUCUUCCGCAAUGGGCGAAAGCCUGACGGAGCAACGCCGCGUGAGUGAUGAAGGUCUUCGGAUCGUAAAACUCUGUUAUUAGGGAAGAACAAAUGUGUAAGUAACUAUGCACGUCUUGACGGUACCUAGUCAGAAAGCCACGGCUAACUACGUG
Molecule: ribosomal RNA, 497 nt
Filed under: uncultured bacterium
Lineage: Bacteria
Description: partial 16S ribosomal RNA
Rfam family: Bacterial small subunit ribosomal RNA
Source: RNAcentral